Molecule: ribosomal RNA, 497 nt
Filed under: uncultured bacterium
Lineage: Bacteria
Description: partial 16S ribosomal RNA
Rfam family: Bacterial small subunit ribosomal RNA
Source: RNAcentral
GAUGAACGCUGGCGGCGUGCCUAAUACAUGCGAGUCGAGCGAACAGACGAGGAGCUUGCUCCUCUGACGUUAGCGGCGGACGGGUGAGUAACACGUGGAUAACCUACCUAUAAGACUGGGAUAACUUCGGGAAACCGGAGCUAAUACCGGAUAAUAUAUUGAACCGCAUGGUUCAAUAGUGAAAGACGGUUUUGCUGUCACUUAUAGAUGGAUCCGCGCCGCAUUAGCUAGUUGGUAAGGUAACGGCUUACCAAGGCAACGAUGCGUAGCCGACCUGAGAGGGUGAUCGGCCACACCGGAACUGAGACACGGUCCAGACUCCUACGGGAGGCAGCAGUAGGGAAUCUUCCGCAAUGGGCGAAAGCCUGACGGAGCAACGCCGCGUGAGUGAUGAAGGUCUUCGGAUCGUAAAACCCUUUUAUUAGGGAAGAACAAAUGUGUAAGUAACUAUGCACGUCUUGACGGUACCUAAUCAGAAAGCCACGGCUAACUAUGUG